RNAcentral lists this ribosomal RNA (494 nucleotides) under uncultured bacterium. RNAcentral describes it as "partial 16S ribosomal RNA". It matches the Rfam family "Bacterial small subunit ribosomal RNA", at positions 28 to 507 of the family's 1533-position model. The record is from RNAcentral.
GAAGAACGCUGGCGGCGUGCUUAACACAUGCAAGUCGAACGGUGAAGCGCCUUCCUUUUUGGUGGGUGUGGAUGAGUGGCGAACGGGUGAGUAACACGUGAGUAACCUGCCCCCUUCUUCUGGAUAACCGCAUGAAAGUGUGGCUAAUACGGGAUAUUCUGGGUCUGUCGCAUGAUGGGUCUGGGAAAGAUAUUGUUUCGGUGGGGGAUGGGCUCGCGGCCUAUCAGCUUGUUGGUGGGGUGAUGGCCUACCAAGGCGGUGACGGGUAGCCGGCCUGAGAGGGUGGACGGUCACACUGGGACUGAGACACGGCCCAGACUCCUACGGGAGGCAGCAGUGGGGAAUAUUGCACAAUGGGCGCAAGCCUGAUGCAGCGACGCCGCGUGAGGGAUGGAGGCCUUCGGGUUGUGAACCUCUUUCGCCAGUGAAGCAGGCCUGCCUCGUUUGUGGGUGGGUUGACGGUAGCUGGAUAAGAAGCGCCGGCUAACUACGUG